CCUCAUUCAGCCUGUACCCUUUGUUACUCUGCCUUUUCGUAACUGUCUAGCAGGGCUGAGAUGUCUUAUUAACAUGUGCUAAUGCUACUGAAGCAAAUCUAGACCAGUUGCAUGCACCAUCACAAUAUCUGAGUCACUCCGUGUAGCCAAGGCAGGAGAGCAGCUUCACAAAGCCCACGUGACCACAUCUGCAGUGUGUCAUAAUGCAGCAUAUGCAGCGUGCACCCAGAAAACAGGGAGAACCUGUGCUUCUCAGCUGUCACAGCCACAGGAUAGUCACAGAACAGAACAUCAGGAGACUCUAAAUGAUCAAGAGAAAGCAGAACAGGACUGAUGGCACACUGAAGUGGAAUGAAACAGAUCAUAGAAAUGAAAUGCAUUUCUUACUGACAGAACAGGUUGAAGUUUGUGUGAUAUACAUUAA
Molecule: long non-coding RNA, 424 nt
Filed under: Gallus gallus (chicken)
Lineage: Eukaryota; Metazoa; Chordata; Aves; Galliformes; Phasianidae
Description: long non-coding RNA NONGGAT005726
Source: RNAcentral